RNAcentral lists this ribosomal RNA (301 nucleotides) under uncultured bacterium. Its description in RNAcentral is "partial 16S ribosomal RNA". It matches the Rfam family "Bacterial small subunit ribosomal RNA", at positions 509 to 807 of the family's 1533-position model. The record is from RNAcentral.
CAGUAGCCACGGUAAUACGGAGGGGGCUAGCGUUGUUCGGAAUUACUGGGCGUAAAGCGUGCGUAGGCGGUGAGUUAAGUCUGCUGUGAAAUCCCCGGGCUCAACCUGGGAAUGGCAGUGGAUACUGGCUCGCUAGAGUGUGUCAGAGGAUGGUGGAAUUCCCGGUGUAGCGGUGAAAUGCGUAGAGAUCGGGAGGAACAUCAGUGGCGAAGGCGGCCAUCUGGGACAACACUGACGCUGAGGCACGAAAGCGUGGGGAGCAAACAGGAUUAGAUACCCCUGUAGUCCCUGUCUCUUAUAC